GUUGAGAACUGUUCUGCGCAUGUGUCCUGGGAUUACUAGAUUGCGCCUACUUUGUCAUCCAGUUUUAGCCAUACCCUACCUUCCUACCUCAGUAGGAUAUGAUUUGGUGAUUCUAUAUGCUAACCUGUAGAGGAGAGUCUGUAUUAGGAAAGACGUGGAGAAGAACUGCGUUUCUCCUCUGCUAUGCAUUAGAACUCUAGGAAGAAAGUGACAAAUUCAAAGAUGGAGAUAGAAUGAAGCUAAAGAACAAUCACUUGCCUGAGGCCAUUUGAGGAAAAAAACCAAGAAGAUGCCGUAUGUGGAAGUUGAGCUCUCCUGCUGGAGAGGCCAUGGAAGAAAAUCAAGGUGCUCUCAUUGACAGCCCAAUUGUCAGCCAUGUGAGCAAGACUGUCCAGGUCCAACCAGCCACCAGUUGACCCACCGAGAUCUGCCAACAGAUUGGAAAUGCCACACGAGUCCAACUGAGAUCAUAUGGAGCAGAUAUGGGCUUUCCCAGCUGAACUCAGCCCAAAUUACUGACCUAAAAAGUUGAGGAUAAAUAAGUAACAGUCAUUUUAAGCUACUAAGCUUUGGGAGUGAUUUGUUACACAGUAAUAGGCCAAGCACAGAAAAGAUGAGUACCUAAGGAUCCUGAGGCUGUGUUUCAAGCAUAGAUAUACCCAUUUGCCUUUGUAUGAAGUGCUUAUUCUGAAAUUAACCACAACACAGAGCCUUUUGAGGUUAUGGUAAAUGGACACUGAGAAUUUGAAGAACUGGCUGACAACACUACAGGAAUGGGAGUGGUGCUGCAGUCUGAAGAAUUCCCCUUGAGCCUUUGUAUCUUGGUGGUAGGGAGUGACAGACAAAGAACUUUCUCUGUAUCCUGCUUUGGGUCAAAACCAAAAUGGCAAUGAAAGUGAUCUCUAUAUCCAAACAUUGUUAGAGAAGAAGAUAAAUCACUACAUCUUUUGAAACAUUGCCUGCAAGCUGCCCAGAAGUGGAUUUGAGAAUGUGUUUGGAGCCUGAGGGAAAGCAGCUUUGUACAUGAUUCUCAAUACUUGCAAUUAUUCUAAUGAUCUCCCCAGAUGAUAUGCAGGGAAACCCAGCCCUAACACAGGUGGGGGCAGGAAGUAGUCUCCUAAUUUUAGAGAUAAAGGAACUGACUGCUGGAAAAGAAUCACUGAUGAGUGAUGCCACCAAAGAUGCACAGCUUUGAGGAGGCAAAAUCAGAACUGAAUCUUGUUCUUCCAGCACAAAGCCCACACUCUGUCCACU
This is a long non-coding RNA of Heterocephalus glaber (naked mole-rat), 1254 nucleotides long. The record is from Ensembl. NCBI's taxonomy places the organism in Eukaryota, Metazoa, Chordata, Mammalia, Rodentia, Bathyergidae.